RNAcentral lists this ribosomal RNA (960 nucleotides) under Geastrum saccatum. RNAcentral's name for it is "eukaryotic LSU rRNA". It matches the Rfam family "Eukaryotic large subunit ribosomal RNA", at positions 1 to 940 of the family's 3401-position model. The record is from RNAcentral. Lineage: Eukaryota; Fungi; Basidiomycota; Agaricomycetes; Geastrales; Geastraceae.
UUUGACCUCAGAUCAGGCAGGGCUACCCGCUGAACUUAAGCAUAUCAAUAAGCGGAGGAAAAGAAACUAACAAGGAUUCCCCUAGUAACGGCGAGUGAAGAGGGAAGAGCUCAAAUUUGAAAUCUGGCGGCCUACGGUCGUCCGAGUUGUAAUCUAGAGAAGUGUUUUCCGCUCUGGACCGUGUACAAGUCCUUUGGAACAAGGCGUCAUAGAGGGUGAGAAUCCCGUCUACGACACGGACUACCAGUGCUCUGUGAUACACUCUCAACGAGUCGAGUUGUUUGGGAAUGCAGCUCAAAAUGGGUGGUAAAUUCCAUCUAAAGCUAAAUAUGGGCGAAAGACCGAUAGCGAACAAGUACCGUGAGGGAAAGAUGAAAAGCACUUUGGAAAGAGAGUUAAACAGUACGUGAAAUUGUUGAAAGGGAAACGCUUGAAGUCAGUCGCGUCUUCAGAAAUUCAGCCUGGCUUUCUGCCUUGCGUACUUUUCUGUUGGACGGGCCAGCAUCAGUUUUGGCUGCCAGAAAAAGGUGGGAGGAAGGUGGCACCUCCGGGUGUGUUAUAGCCUCCCAUCGUAUGUGGCGGUUGGGACUGAGGACUGCAGCAUGCCUUCAUUGGCCGGGGUUCGCCCACGUAACGUGCUUAGGAUGCUGGCGUAAUGGCUUUAAGCGACCCGUCUUGAAACACGGACCAAGGAGUCUAACAUGCCUGCGAGUAUUUGGGUGGUAAACCCAUAUGCGGAAUGAAAGUGAACAGUUGGGACUUCUGUCAUGGAAGGCACCGACGCCCGGACCAGACCUACUGUGACGGAUCCGAGGUAGAGCAUGUAUGUUGGGACCCGAAAGAUGGUGAACUAUGCCUGAGUAGGGUGAAGCCAGAGGAAACUCUGGUGGAGGCUCGUAGCGAUUCUGACGUGCAAAUCGAUCGUCGAACUUGGGUAUAGGGGCGAAAGACUAAUCGAAC